RNAcentral lists this ribosomal RNA (369 nucleotides) under Escherichia coli. RNAcentral describes it as "bacterial SSU rRNA". It matches the Rfam family "Bacterial small subunit ribosomal RNA", at positions 157 to 521 of the family's 1533-position model. The record is from RNAcentral. Lineage: Bacteria; Pseudomonadati; Pseudomonadota; Gammaproteobacteria; Enterobacterales; Enterobacteriaceae.
CGGUAGCUAAUACCGCAUAACGUCACGAGACCAAAGAGGGGGACCUUCGGGCCUCUUGCCAUCGGAUGUGCCCAGAUGGGAUUAGCUUGUGGGUGGGGUAACGGCUCACCUAGGCGACGAUCCCUAGCUGGUCUGAGAGGAUGACCACCCACACUGGAACUGAGACACGGUCCACACUCCUACGGGAGGCAGCAGUGGGGAAUAUUGCACAAUGGGCGCAAGCCUGAUGCACCCAUGCCGCGUGUAUGAAGAAGGCCUUCGGGUUGUAAAGUACUUUCAGCGGGGAGGAAGGGAGUAAAGUUAAUACCUUUGCUCAUUGACGUUACCCGCAGAAGAAGCACCGGCUAACUCCGUGCCAGCAGCCGCGGU